CCUACGGGUGGCAGCAGUGAGGAAUAUUGGUCAAUGGACGAGAGUCUGAACCAGCCAAGUAGCGUGAAGGAUGACUGCCCUAUGGGUUGUAAACUUCUUUUAUAAAGGAAUAAAACGAGGCACGUGUGCCUUUUUGCAUGUACUUUAUGAAUAAGGAUCGGCUAACUCCGUGCCAGCAGCCGCGGUAAUACGGAGGAUCCGAGCGUUAUCCGGAUUUAUUGGGUUUAAAGGGAGCGUAGAUGGGUUGUUAAGUCAGUUGUGAAAGUUUGCGGCUCAACCGUAAAAUUGCAAUUGAUACUGGCAGUCGUGAGUACAGUUGAGGUAAGCGGAAUGCGUGGUGUAGCGGUGAAAUGCUUAGAUAUCACGAAGAACCCCGAUUGCGAAGGCAGCUUACUAAACUGUGACUGACAUUGAUGCUCGAAAGUGUGGGUAUCAAACAGGAUUAGAUACCCUGGUAGUC
This 460-nucleotide ribosomal RNA is filed under the name uncultured bacterium. Its description in RNAcentral is "partial 16S ribosomal RNA". It matches the Rfam family "Bacterial small subunit ribosomal RNA", at positions 338 to 795 of the family's 1533-position model. The record is from RNAcentral.